CUGAGGGUUUUUCUUGGCUGCGUGCCUUUCAUCUUCUCUGUUCUAAUAUUGUGAUUUCUCUGAAAAUACUUAGUGUGAUUUUUGGGAGAAUUGGUAGAGAAACUCUUGUGUGAGUUCUGCUGUGGGAAGAUUGUGUUGUAUUUGUGAUUUAGGAACUCAGUGUUCUGUAACUUGAUCUUUGCCUAUUUUGGCCAAUUUUAGUGGAUUCGAGUUUAAUCCUUUAUGGAUGCUUAACGGGGGACUAAACAUUAGAAGCGGUCGCUGAAGCUACAGGGCCUUUAGCCGAAAAAUCUCCCGUGUCCUUAUUUUCUGUUUUUGUUCUGAGAAAAUCUUGAUAAAUUUGCGUUGAAUAUUUUUGGCAUAAAUUCGAUCUUGGAGCUACACACGUUCAUGCCAAAUCGGUAUGACACAAAUCAUUAGCACCAUAGUCCUCAAACCAACGGUCAGGUCAAGCAAACUCUCAGUGUAAAGUAUAUGAAGAGAGUGUGGGAGAAAUAGGAAAACAUAGAUUUAGCCAGAGUUUUGAUGACGAUAAGAAAUCGUACAUUUACCAUUAUGCAUGCACCUGUAUUUAUGGGAGAAGGAUUCUAGUGUGGCAAGACACUAUCUGAUCGGAAAACAUUUUCAUUUCAUUAUACAUAAUAAAUUCCACAAAAAAUUAUAUUAUUUUUCAAUUUUUGUAUCGUACAGCUAGUUGAGAGUGGGGCAAAGAAGAAAGAUGAGGGUUGGGCCAAGUUGAAUCGUAGUUGUAAUAGACUGCAGGUGGGCUAAUUGGGCUUUGAUAGAUCAAGCUAAAUGAGCCCAAAUUCAAAAAAACGGCCCAUUCUGAAGUAAUAUUAGUGCUUAUUUUAUAAAGUUU
This 859-nucleotide long non-coding RNA is filed under the name Olea europaea subsp. europaea. The record is from RNAcentral. Lineage: Eukaryota; Viridiplantae; Streptophyta; Magnoliopsida; Lamiales; Oleaceae.